UACGUAGGGGGCAAGCGUUGUCCGGAAUCAUUGGGCGUAAAGAGCGUGUAGGCGGCCCGGUAAGUCCGCUGUGAAAGUCCAGGGCUCAACCCUGGGAUGCCGGUGGAUACUGUCGGGCUCGAGUCCGGAAGAGGAGUGUGGAAUUCCCGGUGUAGCGGUGAAAUGUGUAGAGAUCGGGAGGAACACCGGUGGCGAAGGCGGCCUUCUGGACGGUGACUGACGCUGAGGCGCGAAAGCGUGGGGAGCAAACAGG
RNAcentral lists this ribosomal RNA (253 nucleotides) under uncultured bacterium. Its description in RNAcentral is "partial 16S ribosomal RNA". It matches the Rfam family "Bacterial small subunit ribosomal RNA", at positions 524 to 776 of the family's 1533-position model. The record is from RNAcentral.